GCAAGUCGAGCGAGAAAGCCUUCGGGUGAGUACAGCGGCGGACGGGUGAGUAACGCGUAGGAAUCUACCCGGUAGUGGGGGACAACAUGGUGAAAACCAUGCUAAUACCGCAUACGCCCUAUGGGGGAAAGCGGGGGACCUUCGGGCCUCGCGCUAUCGGAUGAGCCUGCGUAAGAUUAGCUAGUUGGUGGGGUAAAGGCCCACCAAGGCGACGAUCCUUAGCUGGUCUGAGAGGAUGAUC
Molecule: ribosomal RNA, 241 nt
Filed under: uncultured bacterium
Lineage: Bacteria
Description: partial 16S ribosomal RNA
Rfam family: Bacterial small subunit ribosomal RNA
Source: RNAcentral